UAAUACGGAGGGUGCGAACGUUAAUCGGAAUCACUGGGCGUAAAGCGCGCGUAGGCGGUUUGUUAAGUGGGAUGUGAAAUCCCCGGGCUUAACCUGGGAAUUGCGUUCCAAACUGGCCGACUAGAGUACGGUAGAGGGAGGUAAAAUUUCCUGUGUAGCGGUGAAAUGCGUAGAUAUAGGAAGGAAUACCAGUGGCGAAGGCGGCCUCCUGGAUCGAUACUGACGCUGAGGCGCGAAAGCGUGGGGAGCAAACA
This 254-nucleotide ribosomal RNA is filed under the name uncultured prokaryote. RNAcentral's name for it is "partial 16S ribosomal RNA". It matches the Rfam family "Bacterial small subunit ribosomal RNA", at positions 521 to 774 of the family's 1533-position model. The record is from RNAcentral.